This 264-nucleotide ribosomal RNA is filed under the name uncultured bacterium. RNAcentral's name for it is "partial 16S ribosomal RNA". It matches the Rfam family "Bacterial small subunit ribosomal RNA", at positions 90 to 354 of the family's 1533-position model. The record is from RNAcentral.
UUCGAGUGGCGGACGGGUGAGUAACGCGUGGGUAACCUGCCUUACACAGAGGGAUAACACCCGGAAACAGGUGCUAAUACCGCAUAAGCGCACAGGGCCGCAUGGCCCGGUGUGAAAAACUCCGGUGGUGUAAGAUGGACCCGCGUCUGAUUAGCUUGUUGGCGGGGUAGGGGCCCACCAAGGCGACGAUCAGUAGCCGGCCUGAGAGGGUGGACGGCCACAUUGGGACUGAGACACGGCCCAAACUCCUACGGAAGGCAGCAG